UUGGGGUCUCCAAGAAAAAUUAGGAUGGUUCCUCCAAUCUUAAUUAUAUGUGUUUAAGAAUGGGUCAUUGACAGGCUUGGAGUAAGCUUGAGAAGUUUGAACUUGUUCUUGGAUGAAGGGUGGAAAUGGUGCAGUCAUGAGACAUUCACUCACAUGAUGGACUGGACUAGCACAGAUAGAAUAAAUCUCCUGAUAAUUGGAAAGUGGUGUGUAUUGC
This 217-nucleotide long non-coding RNA is filed under the name Elaeis guineensis (African oil palm). RNAcentral's name for it is "long non-coding RNA (EGUI_LNC036857)". The record is from RNAcentral. Lineage: Eukaryota; Viridiplantae; Streptophyta; Magnoliopsida; Arecales; Arecaceae.